CAGCAACGGUCCAAAUCUUUUCAAUUUUUGCAAAAUUUACCAUAAUCUUCAUUUUGUGUCACUCACAGUUUCAAACAUUUAAAAAUAUGCAGCUGGAGUCUAGAUGGAUGGAUUCCAUCCAUUUUACCGUUAGUUGAUCAAGAAAAUAAAAAAUUGAUCAAUUUUGACCAAAUAUUUAAGAGUAAAAUGGUAACUUUAUAUUUUUCUCACAUUAAAUAAGUUAAAAAUUAAAUUAAAAAACCAAAAAAUAAAAAUAAAAAUAUAUAACCCUACUCCCUCCACCCAAUCCCACUUCCCCAAAUCAAAAUCUCACGGUAUUCUUCUCGGACGAGACCUAUCGAAAAUUACCAGGCAAUUCAAAGGCAAAUCUGUUGUAAUUGAUGAAUAUGGCAUCCAAAGGUUUGUCAGAUAGUUUAGAAGGGUCAAUUCCUUCAAACUCAUUAUAACGUAUAUCUAAAUAGAUUAACUUAGGCAAACUUAGCACAACAGAGAGAAAUUUCCCAACCUUUUAUUGCUCAAGUCCAAUUCAAAGAGUAUCUUCAAGUUUUUGAAUUUCUUGGGCACAGUACCGCAAAACCUGUUGGAGUUGAUAUGGAAAACGCCCAGAUCUGUGAGUAGGCCAAGUUCUUUUGGAAGACACCCAAUAAUGUCACCAUGGUUGAGAUAAACGCUAGCAACUGUAAGAAUAGAAGAGUUGUCUGGUACGGAAGCACAGAAUACACCGGUAUAGUUACAAACAUGAAACAUCAGAUCCGACCCAAUUCGCAAUAAGAUUUUGGGGAUCUGAGAGAAUGGCUUGUUUCAAAACUUGUAAUGCAAUGUAUGCAUUUCUCAGCCUUGGAUUCUUGAAGACAAGUGAAGGGUCAACCGUCACUUUCUCUCCUCUAUCGCCAAACUCAUCUCUCUAGUAUAAGAGCUGCCUUCGCUUGAUGAAAUAAGCUUCAACAUCAGUGAGACAGCUGACUAUGUGGUGGAUUACAUGAGAAUUAGCUCCCGAGCUGGCGAUGUCGACCACCUUGGCUCCGACGGAGGCUCUUCGAGUCCAAGACGCCACCACCGUCUACUGUUGACGAAAUCGAGGCCAGGCUUCGGGACGCUGAUCUUCGCUGUCAAGUCUCUUUUUCUUUUUCUCCGUCUUUUGAAAGUUUAAACCUUUGAUCAGAAUUUGUUAAUCUUAACGUUCAUGGAAUAAUUAACAACUACUAGGGUUGGCUUUGAUGUGGAUGGUAGAUGUCGAGUGUGACAAUUUCAUAAUCUCUUUGCCGUGGUAACUGUUGCUUGUUGUCACAUCUGGGCAACCUACUUGGACGAUGGCCCACUCAUGACGAUCCACGUGGCAUUCUUGUCAAGGUGUCACACAAUGUCGAGGUGGGCUAAUCCGAACUGCUUCGAGCCGAAGUUCAUUUGUCGAGGCUCCUUUUUGUCCGAGGCCUACUAACCGAAGUCAGGCUGCAGGAACCUGUUGAGAGCAGUUGAGGCCCUCAAGUGGAAGUAUCAUGACACAUGGCCGAAGCCCCGAAGCUGAUGCGCGAGCCUCUGAACCACAAAGAAACAUCCUCCAUGGUCACUUCUCCCAAGAGAUCGCCUGCAUAGAUCUUAUUUGAAUGAUUGAUGGAACGUUUGUCAUAAGAAUAAAUGUUAAGUCUUGUCACUAGUAUGAAGGCCCUGCACAAGCAAUAAAUGCGCCGUAAGCUAGCAAGUCAAACCCCAUACCUAGGAAAAGAUGUUUGAACUAAAGAGAUGAGGCAACGUGCCACUUCAUCCAAGGGCUCCAAUUUGAUAUGUACUACUAUAAAUACUUCCUUGUGUGAUAUCAAAAGACUAAUGCAAGAAUCAAUACUAAGAACUACAUUUACUCAA
RNAcentral lists this long non-coding RNA (1860 nucleotides) under Olea europaea subsp. europaea. Lineage: Eukaryota; Viridiplantae; Streptophyta; Magnoliopsida; Lamiales; Oleaceae. The record is from RNAcentral.